Molecule: microRNA precursor, 63 nt
Filed under: Oryza sativa (Asian cultivated rice)
Lineage: Eukaryota; Viridiplantae; Streptophyta; Magnoliopsida; Poales; Poaceae
Description: miR5819 stem-loop (osa-MIR5819)
Source: miRBase by way of RNAcentral
UGGCAAUGAGAGGACGAGGGGAACGGCGGCGGUGGCCCGCGCUGCUGCUCGUCGUCCUUGCCU